This 42-nucleotide non-coding RNA is filed under the name Schistosoma mattheei. Lineage: Eukaryota; Metazoa; Platyhelminthes; Trematoda; Strigeidida; Schistosomatidae. The record is from RNAcentral.
CAGCUGACGAGUCCAAAAUAGGACGAAACACGCGUCAAACUG